AUCUACCUGAUGAGUUCUAAAUAGGACGAAACACGCUUCCUGGAU
Schistosoma rodhaini is the source of this 45-nucleotide non-coding RNA. The record is from Rfam. NCBI's taxonomy places the organism in Eukaryota, Metazoa, Platyhelminthes, Trematoda, Strigeidida, Schistosomatidae.